This 61-nucleotide transfer RNA is filed under the name Phytophthora infestans (potato late blight agent). RNAcentral describes it as "tRNA-Val". The record is from RNAcentral. Lineage: Eukaryota; Oomycota; Peronosporomycetes; Peronosporales; Peronosporaceae.
CAGCUCAGCGGUUGAACACUCGCUUCACAAGCGAUAGGUCGGUGGUUCAAACCCACUAGGG